AGUCGAGCGGANCUUUCGGGGUCAGCGGCGGACGGGUGAGUAACACGUGGGCAAUCUGCCCGAUACUCUGGGAUAACGCUUGGAAACGAGUGCUAAUACCGGAUGGUCUUCUUGGCCGCAUGGCCGAGAAGGAAAAGACGCGUUCGCGUCGGUGUCGGAUGAGCCCGCGGCGCAUUAGCUAGUUGGUGAGGUAACGGCCCACCAAGGCGACGAUGCGUAGCCGACCUGAGAGGGUGACCGGCCACACUGGGACUGAGACACGGCCCAGACUCCUACGGGAGGCAGCAGUAGGGAAUCUUCCACAAUGGGCGAAAGCCUGAUGGAGCAACGCCGCGUGAGUGAUGAAGGCCUUCGGGUUGUAAAACUCUGUCAUUCGGGACGAACCGGAGUCUGAGGAAAUGCAGACUCUCUGACGGUACCGGAGGAGGAAGCCCCGGCUAACUACGUGCCAGCAGCCGCGGUAAUACGUAGGGGGCAAGCGUUGUCCGGAUUCACUGGGCGUAAAGCGCGCGCAGGCGGUGAUGUAAGUCUGAGGUGAAAACCCGAAGCUCAACUUCGGGACUGCCUUGGAUACUGCGUCACUUGAGGAUAGGAGAGGCAAGGGGAAUUCCACGUGUAGCGGUGAAAUGCGUAGAGAUGUGGAGGAACACCKGUGGCGAAGGCGCCUUGCUGGCCUAUUUCCGACGCUGAGGCGCGAAAGCGUGGGGGAGCAAACAGGAUUAGAUACCCUGGUAGUCCACGCUGUAAACGAUGAGUGCUAGGUGUAGGUGGGCUCAUACCCAUCUGUGCCGAAGCUAACGCAUUAAGCACUCCGCCUGGGGAGUACGGUCGCAAGACUGAAACUCAAAGGAAUUGACGGGGGCCCGCACAAGCAGUGGAGCAUGUGGUUUAAUUCGAAGCAACGCGAAGAACCUUACCAGGACUUGACAUCCCAUAGACCAGUCUAGAGAUAGACUUUCCCUUCGGGGCUGUGGUGACAGGUGGUGCAUGGUUGUCGUCAGCUCGUGUCGUGAGAUGUUGGGUUAAGUCCCGCAACGAGCGCAACCCUUACUUUGUGUUGCCAGCAUUCAGUUGGGCACUCACAAGGGACUGCCGCCGAUAAGGCGGAGGAAGGUGGGGGUGACGUCAAAUCAUCAUGCCCCUUAUGUCCUGGGCUACACACGUGCUACAAUGGGCGGUACAACGGGAUGCGAAGCCGCGAGGUGGAGCCAAACCCUGAAAACCGUUCGUAGUUCGGAUUGUAGGCUGCAACUCGCCUACAUGAAGCCGGAAUUGCUAGUAAUCGCGGAUCAGCAUGCCGCGGUGAAUCCGCUCCCGGGCCUUGUACACACCGCCCGUCACACCACGAGAAUGGGCAACACCCGAAGUCGGUGGGGUAACCUUUACGGGAGCUAGCCGCCGAAGGUGGGGCCUGUGAUUGGGGUG
Molecule: ribosomal RNA, 1425 nt
Filed under: uncultured bacterium
Lineage: Bacteria
Description: 16S ribosomal RNA
Rfam family: Bacterial small subunit ribosomal RNA
Source: RNAcentral